RNAcentral lists this long non-coding RNA (733 nucleotides) under Mytilus galloprovincialis (Mediterranean mussel). Lineage: Eukaryota; Metazoa; Mollusca; Bivalvia; Mytilida; Mytilidae. The record is from RNAcentral.
GGAGGUCGGCCUAUUCAAUGGAUUCUAGAGAAAAAAAUGAGGGGUGUCGCGUGGUAUGGCUAUAUAGGUCAUGGUGAGGAGAACCGGGUGCAUCGCUUGCACAAGGUUUCAAGUGGCGCUAUGUUCAAAUAUCGGAAACAAGAGUUAAAUUUGAAAAUAAUUGGUGAAAACGGGGGUCGGCCUAUUGAAUGGAUUCUACAAAAAAAAAGUAAUGAGGGUGUCCCGGUAUGGCUAUAUAGGUCUUGUAGAGGAGAAACAGGCGUAUCGUUUGCGCAAGGUUAGGUUUCUUGGCACUAUUUCAAAAAAUCUGAAACUGGAGUUCGAAAUUUGAUAAUAAUUGAGGAAAAACAGGAGGUCGGCCUAAUUUUUGGAUUCUAGAGAUAAAUAAUGAGGGAUGUCACGGGGGUAUGGCUAUAUAGGUCUUGUAGAUGAGAAACAGGCGCAUCGUUUGCGCAAGCUUAAGGUUUCUUUGGCACUAUAUUUAAAAAAUCUGAAACUGGAGUUCGAGAUUUGAAAAUAAUUAGGGAAAAACAGGAGGUCGGCCUAUUCAAUGGAUUCUAGAGAAAAAAAACGAGGGGUGUCGAGGGUAUGGCUAUAUAGGUCAUGGUGAGGAGAACCAGGUGCAUCGCUUGCACAAGGUUACAAGUGGCGCUAUGUUCAAAUAUCGGAAACAAGAGUUCAAAAUUUGAAAAUAAUUGGUGAAAAACAGGGGGGUCGGCCUAUUGAAUGGAUU